Molecule: ribosomal RNA, 366 nt
Filed under: Triticum aestivum (bread wheat)
Lineage: Eukaryota; Viridiplantae; Streptophyta; Magnoliopsida; Poales; Poaceae
Description: partial small subunit ribosomal RNA
Source: RNAcentral
AUGUUUUCUUCGGAAAAGGAGGGAGGCAAUGCUCAGCCGAACGAGAUGAUACAAGCUUUCCGAGAAUGUCUAGCUGAUUGUGGUCUAGAAGAGCUUGGCUAUAAGGGAGACUAUUUCACGUGGAGACGGGAAGAAAUCCGAGAAAGAUUGGAAAGGGUUAUGGCUAACUCGGCAUGGAUGGAAAACUUCCCACGAUAUAUUGUUACUAAUGUCGAGCAUGUGCAUUCAGAUCACAGACCGAUGAUUUUGGACACGGAGUAUGAUGAAGGAGUGCGCUUUACCAGUACUGUUGGUGUUCGCCACUUCGAGGCACGUUGGUUAGAGGAGGAAAUUAUUAAUGAAGUGGUUAAAUCUGCCUGGGAUUGA